Molecule: ribosomal RNA, 484 nt
Filed under: uncultured bacterium
Lineage: Bacteria
Description: partial 16S ribosomal RNA
Rfam family: Bacterial small subunit ribosomal RNA
Source: RNAcentral
AUUGAACGCUGGCGGCAGGCCUAACACAUGCCAGUCGAGCGGAUGAAGGGAGCUUGCUCCUGGAUUCAGCGGCGGGCGGGUGAGUAAUGCCUAGGAAUCUGCCUGGUAGUGUGGGAUAACGUCCGGAAACGGGCGCUAAUACCGCAUACGUCCUGAGGGAGAAAGUGGGGGAUCUUCGGACCUCACGCUAUCAGAUGAGCCUAGGUCGGAUUAGCUAGUUGGUGGGGUAAAGGCCUACCAAGGCGACGAUCCGUAACUGGUCUGAGAGGAUGAUCAGUCACACUGGAACUGAGACACGGUCCAGACUCCUACGGGAGGCAGCAGUGGGGAAUAUUGGACAAUGGGCGAAAGCCUGAUCCAGCCAUGCCGCGUGUGUGAAGAAGGUCUUCGGAUUGUAAAGCACUUUAAGUUGGGAGGAAGGGCAGUAAGUUAAUACCUUGCUGUUUUGACGUUACCAACAGAAUAAGCACCGGCUAACUUCGUG